UUCAGCCACAGUGUCUCAUCGCGUACACGCGCCUUUCUCUAGUAAAGAUGGAGGAUAGAUGGUGGAUUUGGCUCUCACGUGGACCAGAACUUCGAGAUAUAUCCCCUGCGACAAAACCGAGAUAUGGCCAAGGCUCUUGGGAAUGACAGAGGUGGAAAAUAAAAGGGGCCUGUGGAAUCGAGUGGUAGGAGAGGUAGAGAGGGACAGAGAGAGACAGAGGAAUGGAUUGGAGAAAAAGAAAGAGAAGGAGAGAGAGCACUAGAACAUGGAACUCUCUCACUCAUCUUCUCGCUCUCUCUCUUUCAUACACACACAAAAACACAAAAAAGA
Sinocyclocheilus grahami is the source of this 330-nucleotide long non-coding RNA. RefSeq lists it as uncharacterized. The record is from RefSeq and is a predicted model, not a curated record. Lineage: Eukaryota; Metazoa; Chordata; Actinopteri; Cypriniformes; Cyprinidae. The transcript has 3 exons.